GCCACUCUAGGAUUUUCAAAAAAUCGCUUUUUUUUUUUUGCUUUAAAUAGUUCCUUAGGGUCUCAGAAAUAACAUAUUGCAGGAUUAUGGCUCGGAAAGAUCUCUAAAUAAUUUAUUUUCGAAGUUCCUUGCAAGGCUGCACGGUACGCGGCGAGCUCAUUUUGUAAGUUCUACGGGGGGUAAUAUUUGAAGGAUCUACAGCAGGUAUACGGCAGAUGUUUUCAAAGGCGCUAGUUACUUGCUAGACUAUAGUGGUCAAUUAUAUGGUGCAGGCAUUGCAGAUUAAAGGAGCAGUUAGUUCGGCCACGUACCCCUUGAACCAUAGAGGAGUCGAAGGACGACCGCUACAGCGCCACCAUUCUUCAAGAAAUAUUUAUAAGAAAUUAUUUUUUUACACCUAAAAAGAUGUAUAAUAAACUUCUUAUAUUAUAUUUUUAA
This is a long non-coding RNA of Leptopilina boulardi, 438 nucleotides long. RefSeq lists it as uncharacterized. NCBI's taxonomy places the organism in Eukaryota, Metazoa, Arthropoda, Insecta, Hymenoptera, Figitidae. The transcript is spliced from 2 exons. The record is from RefSeq and is a predicted model, not a curated record.